Molecule: ribosomal RNA, 258 nt
Filed under: uncultured bacterium
Lineage: Bacteria
Description: partial 16S ribosomal RNA
Rfam family: Bacterial small subunit ribosomal RNA
Source: RNAcentral
CGGGCACAGCGGGAAGCCAGGUGGUGACACCGAGCAGAACCCGAAAGCCGUUCUCAGUUCGGAUCGGAGUCUGCAACCCGACUCCGUGAAGCUGGAUUCGCUAGUAAUCGCGCAUCAGCCAUGGCGCGGUGAAUACGUUCCCGGGCCUUGUACACACCGCCCGUCAAGCCAUGGAAGCCGGGGGCGCUUGAAGUGCGUUGCCGCAAGGCGCGCCCUAGAGCGAAACCGGUGACUGGGGCUAAGUCGUAACAAGGUACC